This 119-nucleotide ribosomal RNA is filed under the name Pteropus alecto (black flying fox). The record is from RNAcentral. Lineage: Eukaryota; Metazoa; Chordata; Mammalia; Chiroptera; Pteropodidae.
GUCUACGGCCAUGCCACCCUGAAUAAGCCCGAUCCUGUCUGAUCUCGGAAGCUAAGCAAGGUCGGGCCUGAUUAGUACUUGGAUGGGAGACCACCUAGGAAGACCAAGUGCUGUAGGCA